AUACGGAGGGUGCAAGCGUUAUUCGGAAUCACUGGGCGUAAAGGACGCGUAGGCGGGUUGGCAAGUCAGAUGUGAAAUCCUACAGCUUAACUGUAGAACUGCAUUUGAAACUGCUAACCUAGAGUAUGGGAGGGGGAGAUGGAAUUAGUGGUGUAGGGGUAAAAUCCGUAGAUAUCACUAGGAAUACCGAAAGCGAAGGCGAUCUCCUGGAACAUAACUGACGCUAAGGCGUGAAAGCAUGGGGAGCAAACAGGAUUAGAAACCCGAGAGUCC
RNAcentral lists this ribosomal RNA (273 nucleotides) under uncultured bacterium. RNAcentral's name for it is "partial 16S ribosomal RNA". It matches the Rfam family "Bacterial small subunit ribosomal RNA", at positions 523 to 796 of the family's 1533-position model. The record is from RNAcentral.